Long non-coding RNA from Vigna angularis (adzuki bean), 907 nucleotides. RefSeq lists it as uncharacterized. The transcript is spliced from 3 exons. The record is from RefSeq and is a predicted model, not a curated record. Lineage: Eukaryota; Viridiplantae; Streptophyta; Magnoliopsida; Fabales; Fabaceae.
GGAUGGGAGUGGAAACAAAUCUGAGAUUUUGAACUCAUUCCCCCACUCCCUCUGCGCACACCUCCCCUGACUAAUUCCUGAGAAUUUUCUCCUCCUUCUCUCUACCUUCUCUGCACCUUCUCUCUCAAAAGAAACCACCGUUCACCUCCUCCUUUCUGUAUUCCAGUACCAUAGAAAGACGCACGACUUUAAGAGCUUCCAGAAGAACGUUCGGUUUGUGAAGACUGAGCUGUCUGAAUUGACGAGCGUUGACGAGCGGGAGAUCUGUAGUGGAAGAGAGUGUUUUGAGUAUUUGUGGACGUUCGGUCAUUUUCCAGACGUUGUUGAGGAGAUCCCUUUGGAGCAAGAGCUGGAGGAUACUAAGGUUGCGGAGUAGUCUUCUUAGGAAUUCCUAUCGGAACACGUGUAGUGUUCGAAUCUGUAAACUGGUUAAGUUUAAAUUUUCCGUUUCUUUUAUUUUAGAUGACUGUAAUUUCGUACUUUAAUUACACGUCAUGAUCCAACUGUUCUCUUUAUUGGAAUGUUGACGUCUUUAUUAUGUAAUAUUUGUUAUUAUAUAAUCGGGAUGUUACAGUGGACGUUGAAGUGAAGAUCGAACAGUGAGACGCUCGGCUGGUAGCGUAGUGAUGGGAAGAUCGAACAGUGAGACGCUCGGCUGGUAGCGUAGUGAUGGGAUUUAUUGGUCGUUCGACCACCUUAUGUUUUCAUUUUUUUGUUACGACCGUUCGGUAUUUCAUUUGUAAACCGUUCGGUCGGAUUUAUGUACGUUCGACUUUAAAUUUGAAACCUUAUGUAUGGACGUACGGUUUUGUGCGUUCGUUCUUUGUUAUUGUAAGACUGUACUCAAGGACGUUCGUCCUUGAGUGUUCGUUAUGUUUAGUAAAAACUGUUUUGAAUUAUUAUUGAA